RNAcentral lists this long non-coding RNA (409 nucleotides) under Musa acuminata (dwarf banana). RNAcentral's name for it is "long non-coding RNA (MACU_LNC006804)". Lineage: Eukaryota; Viridiplantae; Streptophyta; Magnoliopsida; Zingiberales; Musaceae. The record is from RNAcentral.
UUGUGAGACUCCGAUCUCGGUGCUUCUCGACAUGGACAGAUACAGUGCUCGUCUUGAUGUGGUGUCUUACGCGGUUCUCCUUUUGCGUGGAUGGCAGGAAGUCUCCAUGGCUAAAUAUAUCCUGCAGCAAUACAUCGCGGCGUCGGGAGGGGAGCGAGCGUUGAACGCGAUAAACAGCAUGUACGCCAUGGGGAAGGUCCGGAUGAUGGCGUCGGAGUUCCCCAAGGGGAACGGGGGCGGAAAGAGGGGCAAGAAAUGUGGCGGCGCAGUGGAGACGGGCGGGUUCGUGCUGUGGCAGAAGAAACCAGACCUGUGGUGCCUGGAGUUGAUGGUGUCCGGGUGCAAGAUCAGCGCCGGGAGCGACGGCAAGGUGGCGUGGAGGCAAACCCCAUGGCACCAGUCUCACGCC